This 1165-nucleotide unclassified non-coding RNA is filed under the name Hevea brasiliensis (rubber tree). Lineage: Eukaryota; Viridiplantae; Streptophyta; Magnoliopsida; Malpighiales; Euphorbiaceae. The record is from RNAcentral.
AGUAUAAUUCACAUUCUUUUCUAGCUUUAAAUCUCAAAUAUCAUUAAUCUUCUAUCAAUCAAGGAAAUGGUAAAACCAAAAUCUUUAUCAAUUUCUUUUUGAAGAAAGAAGAAUUAGUUAAUAGAAAUUGAAAAAGAAGAAUAUGUGGCUAAGAGAAAAGGCAUCCUCAUUUACAAAAUAUCGUAAAAUUAGCAAAGACCCAGAGAAAAACUAACAAACAAGCUAAAAAAACAAUUAUAUCCAAAAGUGGCAUCUUAGCUUCUUAGAGCACCAUGCUGAAAAUGACCCAAUCCUCACAACAAACAAUAGCUUUUGCCAACAACUCUAGCUGAUCUGUGAAAUGGUAAACUUAAAGUGCACUCUUUCUAAAAAACAGUGAAUCACCAAACUCACUACUAUUUAACCACCUAACUAUACAGCCUGGAACAAUGCAUCAAGUCAAGCAUCACAACUGCCUUGGUCCAAACCGGAAACAAUAUUAGUAACCAUACAGCACACAUCCAGAUUAUUCUAUCUUCAUCCAAAUAUUCAUAAACUUGGUAAUGCUGAUCAAAUCCAGAAGAAAACAGUAGGUUAAUAUUCUAAACAACCUUUAUGAACCAAAACUUCCAGCUCCUCUCAUUCCAAGCAGUUACACCUAGUAUCACCACCCAAAGCUAUAAAUCUCUGCAAUUGAUAUAAUGCACCAAAUACUCAAAAUUAAUUCUCAUAAAACAGGUUUCUCUCCCUUCAACAUGGAUACUUUUCUACUGCUAUGCCUUCUGACAGACCAAGCAAGGUAAAUAUUUUGAUAAUCCUGUGAUGUGUAAAAGGGCAUAGGUAAAACCAAACAUCCAGAUACUUGCAACAAAUAUCUAUUGGAGUGCCAACAAACUGUCAAUAACAGCAGACAAUAACAUCAAACUUGGAUCAACACCAAACAAUAACAGCAUGGACAAUUUAUAGGGUUUUAUACAAUUGCAAAUAGUAUGACAGAAUCAUAGAACAUUUAGUACAACAUGUGAAGUGUUCUAGGAAAGGUUUACAGAAAUUUAUAAAUAUAGGCACACUAACCACUUUCAAGGGCUUCCUGCACCGUUUGGAGGGUAACAAGUGACUCAACCAAAGGAUCUUGAUCUGCAGAGGGCUGAUGGCUCUCACUUUUCUCUUCCUUAUCUUCCCAAGG